AGUUGGAAUAGGAGCUUGCUCCG
RNAcentral lists this non-coding RNA (23 nucleotides) under Cricetulus griseus (Chinese hamster). The record is from RNAcentral. Lineage: Eukaryota; Metazoa; Chordata; Mammalia; Rodentia; Cricetidae.